AUAGUGUCUCUCUCUAGGAGGUGAACUACUGUAACAUUUCAGUGUGUUAUAGUGUCUCUAGGAGGUGAACUACUGUAACAGUUCAGUGUGUUAUAGUGUCUCAAGGAGGUGACCUACUGUAACAGUUUGUGUACUGUUGUGUCUCAAGGAGGUGAACUACUGUAACAGUUCAGUGUACUGUUGUGUCUCAAGGAGGUGAACUACUGUAACAGUUCAGUGUUCUGUUGUGUUUCAAGGAGGUGAACUACUGUAACAGUUCAGUGUACUGUUGUGUCUCUAGGAGGUGAACUACUGUAACAGUUCAGUGUACUGUUGUGU
This is a long non-coding RNA of Oncorhynchus keta (chum salmon), 318 nucleotides long. RefSeq lists it as uncharacterized. The record is from RefSeq and is a predicted model, not a curated record. The transcript has 3 exons. NCBI's taxonomy places the organism in Eukaryota, Metazoa, Chordata, Actinopteri, Salmoniformes, Salmonidae.